This 484-nucleotide ribosomal RNA is filed under the name uncultured bacterium. RNAcentral's name for it is "partial 16S ribosomal RNA". It matches the Rfam family "Bacterial small subunit ribosomal RNA", at positions 30 to 507 of the family's 1533-position model. The record is from RNAcentral.
AUUGAACGCUGGCGGCAGGCCUAACACAUGCAAGUCGAGCGGAUGAAGGGAGCUUGCUCCUGGAUUCAGCGGCGGACGGGUGAGUAAUGCCUAGGAAUCUGCCUGGUAGUGGGGGAUAACGUCCGGAAACGGGCGCUAAUACCGCAUACGUCCUGAGGGAGAAAGUGGGGGAUCUUCGGACCUCACGCUAUCAGAUGAGCCUAGGUCGGAUUAGCUAGUUGGUGGGGUAAAGGCCUACCAAGGCGACGAUCCGUAACUGGUCUGAGAGGAUGAUCAGUCACACUGGAACUGAGACACGGUCCAGACUCCUACGGGAGGCAGCAGUGGGGAAUAUUGGACAAUGGGCGAAAGCCUGAUCCAGCAAUGCCGCGUGUGUGAAGAAGGUCUUCGGAUUGUAAAGCACUUUAAGUUGGGAGGAAGGGCAGUAAGUUAAUACCUUGAUGUUUUGACGUUACCAACAGAAUAAGCACCGGCUAACUUCGUG